Molecule: long non-coding RNA, 694 nt
Organism: Brassica napus (rape)
Lineage: Eukaryota; Viridiplantae; Streptophyta; Magnoliopsida; Brassicales; Brassicaceae
Exons: 2
Source: RefSeq, a predicted model, not a curated record
GGAGCUAUAUCUUUUUAUUUUUUGAAACACGAGCUAUAUCUCUUCUUCUUCUUUUUUUUUCUCCAUCCUCGCAGUCUUCAAAGAAUCUUUCUCCUCUCUCUCACCACAUAGCAUCCUUACCUCUUUGUCACUGUCUUGUAGAUCUCUUCAUAGUAAGAGUCUAGCAGAAUCCACUAAACCCUCACAAAAUGCUCUCUCUUUCUCAUUUGCAUCCGCCACCGUAUUAAAAGCCCUCUUUACUGCUAAAAUCUACGCGAAUACUCUGGCUCAGUCAGCUUUGGCAUGCCGUGAGAAUCUCAUGGAUCAGAACCCUUAAAAUCGGUCUUCUUUGGAGGUGGCCAGAAGAUGAGAGUGGCAGAGCUUUCACGGAUUAGAGCAGUGAAAGAAGCAACAAAUUUGAAAAAAUGACUUUGUGGUCCAGGAGAGUAACUCUCCUUAAGAAAGGAGCAUGUGGAAGACUUGUCAAGUGGUGAUGAUUGUGAGCCUUUAACUCUCAAGGUCGUUUGCUAAUUGAUCCGUUGAAGAUUGCCCCUUCAUGUUUGAAUGAUUAUAACACUUGAAAGCUUUGACUGAGUCUUAAAAAAAUCUUAUUAGAGAGAAAUAACAUAUAAGUUUUUACGUGUUGGUUGUUGUGGGAGACUCUUGUUAUGGCAGGAUCAAGCUUACCUUUUAUGAUAAGUUUUCAUUAGUGUUA